AUGAAAAAUGAUACAUAAAACAAAACCAGCAAUUUAUUGACUCAUGAUGUGUGGUGUUUAGAAAAAAAUCAACAAUUUUGGCUGCACACAUUAAUUUUAUAAUGGAGUUAAUAGGAAUGCACCCUGUUCGCUGCUAUCCCUCCCAAUUACCACUGACCCAACUCUAGUUGGGACACCCAAACUCGAACACUCAAGCUGGGACUAGCGAUUGCCAAGUUCGGAUGGGGCGGAAAUUGCGCAUGUGUGCACUGUAUAAUCUUCGUAAACAUGUCGUCUGCUCAAGAUGGAUUUAAAAUCAGAAUGUUUUCAUCAUAAAAGAUCGGAAUCCUUGAAGUAACCUCGCUGUGUAUCGUACAUCAUUUCAUCAGACACGGUUUAAGUCAUCACCAACCAUCAGCACAUCACAAGGAACCCUCAGCAGAUGAAUGUUUUAAUUACACUCUCCACCUCUUGAAAUUACCACAAAUACUGGUUCAUUAAGAUGAUGAGGAGCAGCAGUUUCCUCACAAGAGAUGCACCAGGGCUUUGAUGAGAACACUUAGAUUGCAACUUCAUCAUGACUUCAAACACUUCAUCAUCUCUACUACAAGCUUCUCGUACUUCAACUCUGUGAAUUAUUCAAUACUAGGAUAUUAAGGUAGGCUUUUUGUUUUGUGUAUGAAUUGUAAAAAGGUCUGUUUACAAAUAAACACUAUGACAGUGCAGCACUGUGACUUCACCAUCAAUGUACUUAAAGGGCCUUGUCACACAAGUCAAUUUUGAGUCAACUACUCCAGUGCACACAAACAAAAAAACACUUUGAUAUCAAAGUACUUUUUCAAUCAUGGCCUCACUAUACAUUUACCUCUAAUGAGUGUCUGUGAAAAUUCAGAUGGCAAUGUUGUUUUCUUAGUGGGCAUUGCCUGAAAGUGGUUGCCUAUAAAUUGCAUCAUGGGACAUGGACCUUUUGCAUUUAUUGCAGUCCAGUCCCCCAACCGGUGAGGCAGUAGCGGGGUAUGGCUAUUGGCUUGGUCAAUUUGCCUCUGAAAUCUUUUUACAAUCCAAAUAAAUUGUUAAAAAAAUGAGAUGAAGCACAAUUGAUGAAGUCGUACAUUUUGUAAACAGACCUUUACUAAUAUACAGUCCAUUUAUUGUGACUGUUGAUGUAAGGUUCUAUCGAUUGGUACUGGCGGGAGAAUAAUAAUCUUUAAAGGUACUUAAAGACACUGGACACUAGUGGUAAUUGUCAAAGACCAGUCUCAC
This is a long non-coding RNA of Asterias rubens (European starfish), 1242 nucleotides long. RefSeq lists it as uncharacterized. Lineage: Eukaryota; Metazoa; Echinodermata; Asteroidea; Forcipulatida; Asteriidae. The record is from RefSeq and is a predicted model, not a curated record. The transcript is spliced from 3 exons.